This 292-nucleotide ribosomal RNA is filed under the name uncultured bacterium. Its description in RNAcentral is "partial 16S ribosomal RNA". It matches the Rfam family "Bacterial small subunit ribosomal RNA", at positions 505 to 796 of the family's 1533-position model. The record is from RNAcentral.
GUGUCAGCCGCCGCGGUAAUACAGAGGGUGCGAGCGUUAAUCGGAAUUACUGGGCGUAAAGCGCACGUAGGUGGCUUUGCAAGUCGAUUGUGAAAUCCCCGGGCUUAACCUGGGAACUGCAGUCGAGACUGCUUUGCUUGAGUAUGGGAGAGGGAGGUGGAAUUUCCGGUGUAGCGGUGAAAUGCGUAGAUAUCGGAAGGAACAUCAGUGGCGAAGGCGACCUCCUGGACCAAUACUGACACUCAAGUGCGAAAGCGUGGGGAGCAAACAGGAUUAGAAACCCCAGUAGUCC